UGGGGAAUUUUGGACAAUGGGGGCAACCCUGAUCCAGCAAUGCCGCGUGUGUGAAGAAGGCCUUCGGGUUGUAAAGCACUUUUGUCCGGAAAGAAAACUUCGGGGCUAAUACCCCUGGAGGAUGACGGUACCGGAAGAAUAAGCACCGGCUAACUACGUGCCAGCAGCCGCGGUAAUACGUAGGGUGCGAGCGUUAAUCGGAAUUACUGGGCGUAAAGCGUGCGCAGGCGGUGCUGUAAGACCGAUGUGAAAUCCCCGGGCUUAACCUGGGAACUGCAUUGGUGCCUGCAGCGCUGGAGUAUGGCAGAGGGGGGUGGAAUUCCACGUGUAGCAGUGAAAUGCGUAGAGAUGUGGAGGAACACCGAUGGCGAAGGCAGCCCCCUGGGCCAAUACUGACGCUCAUGCACGAAAGCGUGGGGAGCAAACAGG
Molecule: ribosomal RNA, 429 nt
Filed under: Bacillota bacterium
Lineage: Bacteria; Bacillati; Bacillota
Description: Firmicutes bacterium partial 16S ribosomal RNA
Rfam family: Bacterial small subunit ribosomal RNA
Source: RNAcentral